UUCUCCAUGUCGGCUUAUGGUUGGGAUGGUCCACCAGAUCAGCAGUGGAUCUGAGGCAACUAAAUUUUUAUCUCGGUCGAGGGGGCUUUCGUUUUCGUGGUUUUGGUUUGGAGAAUCUCUUAUCGAUCUCUACCGCGCUGCUCACGUGACACCUCAGAUAGCUCGGAUAGAGAAAGCGAGGGAUUCCAGCACCGACGAGAAACUCGAAGCCCGACCCAGCGAAACCAAAGAGCCGGUCUCCCGGCCGAUGAUGAGGAUCCUCCCGAUGGCCGCCGCCUCCUCCUCCCUCCAACUCGCCGCCCUCCGCCCCCGUUCGCCCUUCUCCUCCGCCGUCCAGCUCGCGUGCCUCGAUAUCCCCUUCGCCCCUUGCCGCCCCCUCGCUCUCUUCCAUCUUGGCAGCGCUAUGCAUCAUGAGCAGUUGUUUGGAAUAAAACCUUUUAGGUUGAUAAGAAAAGCGAAUGGUAUAGAGGCCAGUGCUGCUGGAAAUACCACGACACAAGCAAGCACCACCAUUAGUCAAGAAGAGGCCUUAGAGUGGGUGAAAAAGGACAAGCGGAGGCUUCUACAUGUUGUUUAUCAUGUUGGGGACUUGGACAAGACAAUAAAGUUCUACACAGAAUGCUUAGGAAUGAAGUUGCUGCGAAAGCGUGACAUUCCUGAGGAAAGAUACACAAAUGCUUUCCUUGGAUAUGGGCCUGAAGACUCACAUUUUGUUGUUGAACUCACUUAUAACUAUGGGGUUGACAAGUAUGAUAUUGGAACUGGUUUUGGUCACUUUGGUAUUGCAGUUGAGGAUGUUACCAAGACAGUGGAUCUUAUAAAAGCCAAGGGAGGAAAGGUGACCAGGGAACCUGGUCCUGUAAAUGGGGUCAAAACUGUGAUUGCCUUUAUUGAAGAUCCUGAUGGCUAUAAGUUCCAGCUUUUGGAAAGGGGCCCUACACCAGAACCCUUGUGUCAAGUAAUGCUUCAUGUAGGAGAUUUUGAUCGUGCCAUUAACUUCUAUGAGAAGGCAUUUGGUAUGGAGCUUCUAUGCAAACGAGACAGUCCCGAGUACAAGUGUACCAUAGCAAUGAUGGGAUAUGGUCCUGAGGAUAAAAAUGCAGUGCUGGAGUUGACCUACAACUAUGGGGUUAAAAAAUAUAACAAAGGAAAUGCCUAUGCACAGAUUGCAAUAGGCACGGAUGAUGUUUAUAAAACUGCAGAAGCAAUAAAACUGUAUGGGGGAAAAAUUACUCGGGAACCAGGUCCUUUACCCGGCAUUAACACGAAAAUCACUGCCUGCUUGGAUCCUGAUGGCUGGAAAACGGUCUUUGUUGACAACAUAGAUUUUGCCAAGGAACUAGAGUGAACCAAUUGUCAUGCUGAGAUUGUCAAGGAAUGUCUGGCCUCUGAUCACUUAAUGCAGCCUUUGCCAGUCAAGUCUUGAUGACUGUAGACAAAAAAUUGGGAUGGCGGAACGGGAUAGGCGGAAGUACUAGACCAAAAUUUGCAGUUGGACCUGAAAGUUAGAGCAUGGGCAAGACUUAUGGGUUACGUUUUUAUGUUUGCUUAAAUCCUGCUAAAUCAAACCCUUGAGAGUUGAGAGUGAACUUAUUCAAAGAAGAGAUACCUGUUGCAGCUCCAGCAGUCAAGUGUCAUGAUAUCUCCACUUGUCUGUACGUUAACGGCAGGGUGGGUUACCGACAAGAUCUGCUCAUGACGGGCCCCAAAAGCUUGAGCCAUCGCUGCGCAGUGAUGCCACCAGUGCUGCAGCAGAAGCAAUGGCUGCUGUAAUCUUUGAACCAGAGUUGGUUUUUUCUCUCUCUCCCCACCCAUCGUCUCCCCUCGUGGCAACCCACCAAGGAGCUGGACGUUUGGACGAGUUAAAAUGAAAAGUUCAGUUCAUACCUAUAUGAUCUCUUGGAGAGAUGGGAGGGCCAGUGCCAAUUGAUUCAGUUGGCGCCGGUGGUGUAAUUGUCGGCUUUUUCAGUGAAGCUCCAUCUUCAUAUCUGGCUUUAGCCAGGGCAUUCAGAACAUUCUUCAGCUGAGGGCGGGGCUGGUGAACUGAAGUUUGGUUUCUGCAUGCAUGUGGAUUCUGAAGGACCGCUGCUUUCAAGCAUAGCAAGGGGCUUUCGAGAUCUCUGCGGCAGAUGGGCUCUAUGACUUUGCAAGGAACUACAAGCUCUCCGUAGGAGUUUCAGGAGCCUGCAGCGAUGACGAAUGCCAGCUUACGAGGCCUUCCUCUUCAAUGUUCUCCAGCUGCUCAGAUGGGCACUUGAGAUGAUUGACGCUGAUAUGAACUUUGAUCCAGGGCCUCAAAUAAUUGCACCCUUGGAUUGAAACAGUGACACAAAGUUAAAGGUAUUAGCAUAUAUUUAAUGAAAUGAUGGAAACAAAACAUAUGU
Molecule: RNA transcript, 2384 nt
Organism: Phoenix dactylifera (date palm)
Lineage: Eukaryota; Viridiplantae; Streptophyta; Magnoliopsida; Arecales; Arecaceae
Gene name: putative lactoylglutathione lyase, chloroplastic
Source: RefSeq, a predicted model, not a curated record